AGAGUUUGAUUCUGGCUCAGAACGAACGCUGGCAGCGUGGAUUAGGCAUGCAAGUCGAACGGGAAUCUGCGGUGUUCAAUUCUUUGGAAAAGAACUCGCGGAGGAGAGUGGCGGAAGGGUGAGUAACGCGUGGCAAUCUACCUCUGAGUUGGGGAUAACCCCGCGAAAGCGGGGCUAAUACCGAAUGUGGUCUUCCGGCGUAUGUCGGGAUGAUUGAAGGUGGGGCUGAGCUUCGGCUCACCUGCCGCUCGGAGAGGAGCCCGCGUGCCAUUAGCUUGUUGGUGAGGUUAAGGCUCACCAAGGCUUACGGCUAGCUGGUCUGAGAGGAUGGUCAGCCACACUGGGACUGAGACACUGCCCAGACUCCUACGGGAGGCUGCAGUCGAGGAUCAUUGUCAAUGCGCGAAAGCGUGAUCAUGCAACGCUGCGUGGAGGAUGAAGGCUUUUGGGUUGUAAACUCCUGUCAUUCGGGAAAAAUCUCGGGCCGGAUAAUACCCGGUUCGAUUGAUGUUACCGGAAGAGGAAGCCACGGUUAAUUCUGUGCCAGUAGCCGCGGUAAUACAGAGGUGGCGAGCGUUGUUCGGAUUUACUGGGCGUAAAGGGUGCGUAGGUGGUCGCGUGUGUUGGAUGUGAAAGCCCACCGUUUAACGGUGGAACUGCAUCCGAAACUGCGUGACUAGAGUACAGGAGGGGAGAGCGGAACUCUUGGUGUAGCGGUGAAAUGCGUUGAUAUCAAGAAGAACACCGGUGGCGUAGGCGGCUCUCUGGAAUGUUACUGACUCUGAAGCACGAAAGCUGGGGGAGCAAACAGGUUUAGAUAUCCUGGUAGUCCCAGCCGUAAACGGUGUGCACUUGGUGUGGGGGGUAUUGACCCCCCCCGUGCCGGAGCUAACGCGUUAAGUGCACCGCCUGGGGAGUACGGCCGUAAGGUUAAAACUCAAAGAAAUUGACGGGGGCCCGCACAAGCGGAGGAGCAUGUGGCUUAAUUCGAUGCAAUGCGAAGAACCUUACCAGGGCUUGACAUGCAGCUGCACGUCCGCCGAAAGGUGGAAAGCCUUUGAGGGUGCUGCACAGGUGCUGCAUGGCUGUCGUCAGUUCGUGCCGUGAGGUGUUGGGUUAAGUCCCGCAACGAACGCAACCCUUGUGUUUAGUUGCUACCGCAGGUGAUGAGCCUGCGGGCACUCUAGACAGACUGCCCGUAUAAGCGGGAGGAAGGUGGGGACGACGUCAAGUUAGUAUGCCCCUUACGCCCUGGGCUGCACACGUGCUACAAUGGUCGGUACAGAGGGACGCAAUGCCGCGAGGUGGAGCAAAUCCCCAAAACCGGCCUCAGUUCGGAUUGGAGUCUGCAACUCGACUCCAUGAAGUUGGAUUCGCUAGUAACGGCGUAUCAGCUACGGCGCCGUGAAUACGUUCCCGGGCCUUGUACACAUUGCCCGUCACAUCAUGAAAGCCGUCUGCACCCGUAGUCGCUGAGCCAACCCGUAAGGGAGGCAGGCGCCGAAGGUGCGGGUGGUGAUUGGGAUGAAGUUGGAAUAAGGUA
RNAcentral lists this ribosomal RNA (1543 nucleotides) under metagenome. Its description in RNAcentral is "bacterial SSU rRNA". It matches the Rfam family "Bacterial small subunit ribosomal RNA". The record is from RNAcentral.